This 497-nucleotide ribosomal RNA is filed under the name uncultured bacterium. RNAcentral describes it as "partial 16S ribosomal RNA". It matches the Rfam family "Bacterial small subunit ribosomal RNA", at positions 28 to 507 of the family's 1533-position model. The record is from RNAcentral.
GAUGAACGCUGGCGGCGUGCCUAACACAUGCAAGUCGAACGGAAAGACAAUGAGCUUGUGCCUUUGACGUUAGCGGCGGACGGGUGAGUAACAUGUGGAUAACCUACUUAUAUGUCUGGGAUAACUACGGGAAACCGGAGCUAAUACCGGAUAACAUAUUGAACCGCAGGGAUCAAUGGUGAAUGGCGGCUUUUCUGUAUGUUAUAGAUGGAUCCCCGCCGUAUUGGUUAGUUGGUAAGGUAACGGCCUACCAAGGGGACGAGUCGUUGCCGACCUUAGAGGGGGGUCGGCCCCCCUGGAAGUGGAACCGCGUCCAGGCUCCUACGGGAGGCAGCAGUAGGGAAUCGUCCGCAAUGGGCGAAAGCCUGACGCAGCAAGGCCGCGUGGGUGAUGAAGGUCUUCGGAUCGUAAAGCCCUGUUAUCGGGGAAGAACAGAUGUGGAAGUAACUGUGGACAUCUUGACGGUACCUGAUCAAAAAGCACCGGCUAACUACGUG